RNAcentral lists this ribosomal RNA (497 nucleotides) under uncultured bacterium. RNAcentral's name for it is "partial 16S ribosomal RNA". It matches the Rfam family "Bacterial small subunit ribosomal RNA", at positions 28 to 507 of the family's 1533-position model. The record is from RNAcentral.
GAUGAACGCUGGCGGCGUGCCUAAUACAUGCAAGUCGAGCGAACAGACGAGGAGCUUGCUCCUCUGACGUUAGCGGCGGACGGGUGAGUAACACGUGGAUAACCUACCUAUAAGACUGGGAUAACUUCGGGAAACCGGAGCUAAUACCGGAUAAUAUAUUGAACCGCAUGGUUCAAUAGUGAAAGACGGUUUUGCUGUCACUUAUAGAUGGAUCCGCGCCGCAUUAGCUAGUUGGUAAGGUAACGGCUUACCAAGGCGACGAUGCGUAGCCGACCGGAGAGAGUGAUCGGCCACACUGGAACGGAGACACGGUCCAGACUCCUACGGGAGGCAGCAGUAGGGUAUCUUCCGCAAUGGGCGAGAGCCUGACGGAGCAACGCCGCGUGAGUGAUGGAGGUCUUCGGAUCGUAAAACUCUGUUAUUAGGGAAGAACAAAUGUGUAAGUAACUAUGCACGGCUUGACGGUACCGAAUCAGAAAGCCACGGCUAACUACGUG